UGAAGCUGCUCGGCAUCGGAUCAAACAUCAUGAGCCUCGGCGGCAUCGCGAUCGCGAUCGGGGCCAUGGUAGAUGCGGCGAUCGUGAUGAUCGAGAAUGCGCACAAACGUCUGGAACGUGCCGUGCCCGGUCAGUCGCGUCUCCAAAUCCUGAUCGAUGCCGCAUCCGAAGUCGGGCCCGCGCUGUUUUUCAGCCUACUGAUCAUCACUGUCUCCUUUAUGCCGAUCUUCACAUUGGAAUCGCAGGAGGGGCGGCUAUUCAGCCCGCUGGCCUUCACCAAGACGUUCGCGAUGGCGGCGGCU
Molecule: unclassified non-coding RNA, 302 nt
Filed under: Hevea brasiliensis (rubber tree)
Lineage: Eukaryota; Viridiplantae; Streptophyta; Magnoliopsida; Malpighiales; Euphorbiaceae
Source: RNAcentral